CGUAGGGAGCGAGCGUUGUCCGGAAUUACUGGGUGUAAAGGGAGCGUAGGCGGGGAUGCAAGUUGGGUGUUAAAUCUACCGGCUCAACUGGUAGUCGCACCCAAAACUGCAGCUCUUGAGUGAAGUAGAGGCAGGCGGAAUUCCUAGUGUAGCGGUGAAAUGCGUAGAUAUUAGGAGGAACACCAGUGGCGAAGGCGGCCUGCUGGGCUUUUACUGACGCUGAGGCUCGAAAGUGUGGGGAGCAAA
RNAcentral lists this ribosomal RNA (246 nucleotides) under uncultured bacterium. RNAcentral describes it as "partial 16S ribosomal RNA". It matches the Rfam family "Bacterial small subunit ribosomal RNA", at positions 526 to 772 of the family's 1533-position model. The record is from RNAcentral.